RNAcentral lists this ribosomal RNA (143 nucleotides) under uncultured eukaryote. Its description in RNAcentral is "partial 18S ribosomal RNA". It matches the Rfam family "Eukaryotic small subunit ribosomal RNA", at positions 1299 to 1458 of the family's 1831-position model. The record is from RNAcentral.
UGGUGGAGCGAUUUGUCUGGUCAAUUCCGAUAACGAACGAGACUCUAGCCUACUAAAUAGUUCGGGGACCCCCACAAAGGAGCCCCGCUACAACUUCUAAGAGGGACAGGUGGCGUUUAGCCACACGAGAUUGAGCAAUAACA